AACUCCGGUUGAUCCUGCCGGCGGCCACUGCUAUCAAGUUCCGACUAAGCCAUGCGAGUCAAGGUAUCGUAAGAUGCCGGCACACUGCUCAGUAACACGUGGAUAAUCUAACCUUGAGUAAGGGAUAACUUCGGGAAACUGAAGGUAAUACCUUAUAAUUGCUUAAAACUGGAAUGUUUUUGCAAUAAAAGUUACGACGCUCAAGGAUGAGUCUGCGACCUAUCAGGUAGUAGGUGGUGUAAUGGACCACCUAGCCUCAGACGGGUACGGGCCCUGGGAGGGGUAGCCCGGAGAUGGACUCUGAGACAUAAGUCCAGGCCCUACGGGGCGCAGCAGGCGCGAACACUGUGCAAUGCGCGAAAGCGCGACACGGGGAGCUUGAGUGUCUUGGCAUAGCCAAGACUUUUCUCAUUCCUAAAAAGCAUGAGGAAUAAGUGCUGGGUAAGACGGGUGCCAGCCGCCGCGGUAACACCCGCAGCACGAGUAGUGGUCACUUUUAUUGAGCCUAAAGCGUUCGUAGCCGGUUUUGUAAAUCUUCAGAUAAAGCCUGAAGCUUAACUCCAGAAAGUCUGAAGAGACUGCAAGACUUGAGAUCGGGUGAGGUUAAACGUACUUUCAGGGUAGGGGUAAAAUCCUGUAAUCCCGGAAGGACGACCAGUGGCGAAAGCGUUUAACUAGAACGAAUCUGACGGUAAGGAACGAAGGCUAGGGUAGCAAACCGGAUUAGAUACCCGGGUAGUCCUAGCUGUAAACAUUGCCCAUUUGAUGUUGCUUUUCCGUUGAGGGAAGGCAGUGUCGGAGCGAAGGUGUUAAAUGGGCCGCUUGGGAAGUAUGGUCGCAAGACUGAAACUUAAAGGAAUUGGCGGGGGAGCACCGCAACGGGAGGAAUGUGCGGUUUAAUUGGAUUCAACGCCGGAAAACUCACCGGGAACGACCUGUGCAUGAGAGUCAACCUGACGAGCUUACUCGAUAGCAGGAGAGGUGGUGCAUGGCCGUCGUCAGCUCGUACCGUAGGGCGUUCACUUAAGUGUGAUAACGAGCGAGACCCACAUCUUUAAUUGCAAAUGUAUAUGAGAAUAUGCAUGCACUUUAGAGAAACCGCCAGCGCUAAGCUGGAGGAAGGAGUGGUCGACGGCAGGUCAGUACGCCCCGAAUUUCCCGGGCUACACGCGCAUUACAAAGAACGGGACAAUACGUUGCAACCUCGAAAGAGGAAGCUAAUCGCGAAACCCGUCCAUAGUUAGGAUUGAGGGCUGUAACUCGCCCUCAUGAAUCUGGAUUCCGUAGUAAUCGCGGGUCAACAACCCGCGGUGAACAUGCCCCUGCUCCUUGCACACACCGCCCGUCAAACCAUCCGAGUUGGUGUUGGAUGAGGUUUAAUUCGAGAGGGUUAAAUCAAAUCUGAUGUCGGUGAGGAGGGUUAAGUCGUAACAAGGUAUCCGUAGGGGAACCUGCGGAUGGAUCACCUCCA
Molecule: ribosomal RNA, 1471 nt
Filed under: Ferroplasma acidarmanus Fer1
Lineage: Archaea; Methanobacteriati; Thermoplasmatota; Thermoplasmata; Thermoplasmatales; Ferroplasmaceae
Description: 16S ribosomal RNA
Rfam family: Archaeal small subunit ribosomal RNA
Source: RNAcentral